Molecule: long non-coding RNA, 717 nt
Organism: Leptinotarsa decemlineata (Colorado potato beetle)
Lineage: Eukaryota; Metazoa; Arthropoda; Insecta; Coleoptera; Chrysomelidae
Source: RefSeq, a predicted model, not a curated record
AAACCUGUCUCAGUAACAUCAAAGGCUACACCGUCAACGUCAAAAGUUGUCCCAUCAACGUCAAAAGUGGCUACCACAACGUCUAAAAGUGCAAAAUCAUCAACAACCACGGCAAGUUCUAUUAAAGCAGCUGCUUCAAGAAAGGCCAAAAGGGCAUCAAGAAAGUAACAUUGGGGUUCAGCAAUGAGUGCUGCAAAUGACCUGACCUUUCAUCAAGAUCAUCCAACCCAUGUGUAGAUUUGACAGUAGUUUUCCUUAUUAUCGAUAAAAUUUCUUUGGUUGUUAUUGGUGCCAAAAAGAAACUUGUAGGCACUUUUUUAAUACAGAUAUAUUUUGGUACCUGACGAUUUAUUGUGCAAUCAAUGAAAUAGUCGUUUAUAUAGUUUGCCUUGUUCAGUGGAAGUUCUCCCUUCCAAAAAUCCAGCAGAUGCUUUCCUUACUGAUCCAAUAUAUUUUCUUUAAUAAAAUUCAUUCAUUAUUUACCUUUUUUAUGAUUUUUCACAUGCACUAUAUAUUCUUUUUUAAAUUGUUAAUAAUUUUUUGUAUACCAAGGAUUGUUCAGAGCUUCGCUUAAUUUACUCAUUUCAAAAAGCUGGGCGUGCAUUUGUUUGAUUUCAGCAGUGUAUCAUUUUUUUUGUAGUUAUGUUUAAUGUGUAUUGUUAUAAUUGGAAAUGCACAUUUGUACUAAUAAAUAAAAGUAUGAUGUAAUAUGAAAAA